UAGUCCACGCCCUAAACGAUGAUUACUCGACAUACGCGAUACACAGUGUGUGUCUGAGCGAAAGCAUUAAGUAAUCCGACCUGGGAAGUACGUCCGCAAGGAUGAAACUCAAAGGGAAUUGACGGGGGUCCGCACAAGCGGUGGAGUAUGUGGUUUAAUUCGAUGAUACGCGAGGAACCUUACCUGGGCUAGAAUGCUUAGGAGACCGUUAGUGUAAAGCUAAUUUUAUAGCAAUAUACUGCUAGCAAGGUGCUGCAUGGCUGUCGUCAGCUCGUGCCGUGAGGUGUUGGGUUAAGUCCCGCAACGAGCGCAACCCCCAUCUUCAGUUGCCAACAGGUAAUGCUGGGAACUCUGAAGAAACUGCCGUCGUAAGACGCGAAGAAGGAGGGGACGAUGUCAAGUCAUCAUGGCCUUUAUGCCCAGGGCUACACACGUACUACAAUGGGGAGGACAAAGGGCAGCGACCUGGUGACAGGAAGCUAAUCUCAAAAACCUCUUCUCAGUUA
Molecule: ribosomal RNA, 506 nt
Filed under: uncultured bacterium
Lineage: Bacteria
Description: bacterial SSU rRNA
Rfam family: Bacterial small subunit ribosomal RNA
Source: RNAcentral